GAUGAACGCUGGCGGCGUGCCUAAUACAUGCAAGUCGAGCGAACAGACGAGGAGCUUGCUCCUCUGACGUUAGCGGCGGACGGGUGAGUAACACGUGGAUAACCUACCUAUAAGACUGGGAUAACUUCGGGAAACCGGAGCUAAUACCGGAUAAUAUAUUGAACCGCAUGGUUCAAUAGUGAAAGACGGUUUUGCUGUCACUUAUAGAUGGAUCCGCGCCGCAUUAGCUAGUUGGUAAGGUAACGGCUUACCAAGGCAACGAUGCGUGGCCGACCUGAGAGGGUGAUCGGCGACACUGGAACUGAGACACGGUCCAGACUCCUACGGGAGGCAGCAGUAGCGAAUCUUCCGCAAUGGGCGAAAGCCUGACGGAGCAACGCCGCGUGAGUGAUGAAGGUCUUCGGAUCGUAAAACUCUGUUAUUAGGGAAGAACAAAUGUGUAAGUAACUAUGCACGUCUUGACGGUACCUAAUCAGAAAGCCACGGCUAACUACGUG
RNAcentral lists this ribosomal RNA (497 nucleotides) under uncultured bacterium. Its description in RNAcentral is "partial 16S ribosomal RNA". It matches the Rfam family "Bacterial small subunit ribosomal RNA", at positions 28 to 507 of the family's 1533-position model. The record is from RNAcentral.